Saccostrea cuccullata (small rock oyster) is the source of this 264-nucleotide long non-coding RNA. RefSeq lists it as uncharacterized. The transcript has 3 exons. The record is from RefSeq and is a predicted model, not a curated record. Lineage: Eukaryota; Metazoa; Mollusca; Bivalvia; Ostreida; Ostreidae.
GUUACAGAGAAUUCACAGCGUCCUAAAACUGAGUUUCUAUGUUGAUCAUUAUGUACACCAGCUGCAUUUGGUUCCUCCUUUUGAUCACUGGAACUGGAAUUGAUGCUAGCCCUUGUACGAAAGUAAUUAAAAACGUAGAACCUUACGAGGUCGUAGAGUGCACAAGUCGCAUUUGGGGAAAAUGUACUCACUAUGCUACGUUAUGGCGAUAUCGCGUGUCCUAUAGACGGACAUGUUGUGCCGGAUAUGGAGGUUAUAACUGUC